RNAcentral lists this long non-coding RNA (2069 nucleotides) under Panax ginseng (ginseng). RNAcentral describes it as "long non-coding RNA (PGIN_LNC006449)". The record is from RNAcentral. Lineage: Eukaryota; Viridiplantae; Streptophyta; Magnoliopsida; Apiales; Araliaceae.
GAAAGGAAAACAGUUAUUACCAUUCAUAUAAUAGGCCUAAAAGUUUAAAUUCAUUACAUUUUCAAAUGUCUCCACGAAGUAAAGCUUGUACAAAAUCAUCUUUUUCAUCAUUUGGUGCAGCAAAGAACAAUAUCAUGAGAUUUUCAUUAUCGACCAUCUUCUUCGUAACUUGAUACCUUAGCACUUUGAAAAUUCCAGAAAUAAUGGAAAGCUCCUCAUUGAGUUUCUUUUUUUGCUCAAUCAGAUUGUCCUCACAAAUUGCUUGACUAAACAUUUUGGCAGUUUCAUGAAGUUGAGUAGCUAUCAUCCUUGAAGCACUAUAAACAACCUCUGCAAGAAAACGACGACUGUAUCUCCACUUAGCAGUCUUUUCAUGAGCUUGUAUACCAAAGUUUUUCACAUGAUAGUAAACAAUGUGACAGUAGCUUCCAAGUCCAGUUAAUGUUCACAAGAUUUUUACAUGCCUAAGUUCUAAUAAAAUAAACAUAAUUCUAAUAAUUCUAGCAACAUGACAGUGUCUGGUCUGGCAAGCACAAUACCCAUGAUCACAAAGAUAAUGAGAACUCAGAGCAUUCUCAGCCACUCAUCCAAUUAGCAAGAAGAACUCUGUAUUUGGGCAGUACCCAAAUGGGAUUAGACUCAUUUCCACCAUUAAAGUUGCAGAGCAAAACUCUAGUGUAGCAGGAGAUGAUGAUGAGAUGAAACAAGAACCACCAGAUUAUAUAGUUAGUACCAAAUAUAUAGCAUAGUUUAUUAUUCAUCAAAUACAAGUUAGUAGUAGUAGGUAUAUAACUCUAAAAAUAAAUGAGUCUAAUUUAUGGUUUGCAAAUACAUACGUAUGGUGCAAGGCAACACAACCACCUCCGCUAGCUAUCCCUUGACAGGUCCAAGUCCAACACCGUAAGGCAGUUCAAAUUACUAAUGAACAAGCACAGAAUACUACUGAAUAUAUAGACACUUAAAGGCGGCUCAAUUAUCAGUGUAAAAUUAAAAUUUCAUUCACAAGUUAAUAAUAACUAUAUAUGGUUCAAUACAGAUUGAUUACACACACUUUUACUUUCUCUUUUUUUUGAAGAGGACAAAGGCUCAAUUAUUUAUUUGUGUGCAAAUUAGAAUGUCAUACACAAAGGAUCAAUUAUUUGUGAACAAAUUAAGUUCAGAAUCUGUUACACAAACUCAACCACAUUUCAGAGAUAAUAAAGAGUUCCAAAAAACAAAAUCAUUGCAGGAAUACAUUAUUCAAAGUUACAACAGUGUUUCAACUUAUUAAAAAGAUAAUCAUCCUUAAGAUCCUAGAUCAAAGAAGCAAGAACAACAAACUUAUAAACAGCAGCAGAACACACGAUGAAGAAGAAACAGAAAGCAACCCUGUGGUUUGUAUGAGACCUUAUAAAUCACGUCACCAAUAUACAGACACUGAAUACAAGAACAUAAAUACAAUGCAGUUUGAUUCUUGAAACUGGCACAAGUUCAAGUAUAGGCAGCAGAGUUUCUGUUUGCAGAAUUUGACAACCUUACCAUUUCAGUAUCCAUACAACUUAAGUUUCUCUCAAAUUGGUAGAUCAACAAGACCAUAAAACUUAAAUUGCUGAAAAUAAACAGAUAAAGCCCAGCUCAGAAUAUGGAAAACAAUCGUUGAAGAUGUAACUUUUAUUUUUUAAAAAAAGGAAGUCCUAUACUUGUUAGUUACCUUUGAGUCAAAUUAUCAAACAUUUAGAAGACAAAAAUGGAGGAUACUAUAGCAAAACAAACCAAAACCCAAGCAUUUAAAUUUAAUUAAACAUGGAAUUGAAAGAGUAGAGCAUAUAUACAUAUACACAUAUAACGAAAAUGAUAAAUCAAGAUUCAAACAACCCAUUCUGAGAAUUGAAAGCUUGAUUCAAGUAUUAAUUAUGAUAUGUAGAUUAAUUGGAAAUGAGAACGAGAUUGGUGAAGAUAUUGAAAGAGAAUGAUUGAAGAGAACCAAAAUACUUUUAUUCUACUUCAACGAUUUGCUCGAUCAAUUUGAUAUUUAAACGAGAUUGGUGCUAACUUGCUUUUUCCAUCGGUGAGAGAAAGGUAGGGAUCAG